GGAGAAAUGCCAGAGCGGUUGAAUGGGACGGUCUCGAAAAUCGUUAUAUGUUUAUGCAUAUCGUGGGUUCGAAUCCCACUUUCUCUG
Molecule: transfer RNA, 87 nt
Filed under: Candidatus Nesciobacter abundans
Lineage: Bacteria; Pseudomonadati; Pseudomonadota; Alphaproteobacteria; Holosporales; Holosporaceae
Rfam family: tRNA
About the family: Transfer RNA (tRNA) molecules are approximately 80 nucleotides in length. Their secondary structure includes four short double-helical elements and three loops (D, anti-codon, and T loops).
Source: Rfam by way of RNAcentral